GUCACGAGGCAUACAAUUGCCCUUUUAAAGAAUUGUGUCUAAAAAUGAAUUAUUCUUCCGUCCAACUAAAAAAGGGUUAUGAUCGUGUCCAUCCGACAGAAGAUCAUAGGUGUCAUAUUAGACUCGAACCUGAUCUCUUGGACACCCCAGUGUGGAACUCGUAUGGAUGACUUGUUUAUAUGCGUGAUCAUUGUGGCGUCUCUCUAGAGGAAAAUGCCUGGCCGCCGCCAUUUUGGGAAAAGCGUUGCUUCAUGCUAAUAAUCUGAGAAGUGCUGAUAACUCUUGGAGCGCGGCGAAAGCAGUUCUUCGCUAAGUCGACCGUGACCUGCGCUUUGAACCAACAUCCAAAGAAUAGACAAGUCUCCCUGAGGUCAACAAUAAAAUGAACCUUUAAGAAGAAAAAGUAGUCUUGGACAUCAGAAGCCACAAAAGCCGCAAUCUUGAUUCCUCCCCCCUCACGUGAGACAUUGCAUCUUAAAGUGAGACACAGUGCCAAUAGUCGUCAGAUUGAUUAAUAUGCAGAUGUUGAAGUAAUUCCUGGAUGAAUUGCUGAUUAAGGAUGAUACGAAAGUGCGAGCGUAGUUUAAACUCACGAACUGGAAGUGUAGAGUUCAAUUGAUGACCGUGCAUUUUGUGGUAUACUUUAUGAAGCUGAUGCCGCUUCCCAGAAGUUGGUGUCUCAAUUUCUAGACUGCCUGACUCGCUCGAGGCAAAAGCUUGACGUUUGAAGUCCAUUUUACAUAUCUUCUUCCGUCUGCCUUGAACCUCGAGCUCGAGUCACACGACUGUGGUGGAAUUACAAGCCAGAGACAAAACAGAAGAAAUAGUAUCCUUUUCUUAUUCUCUCUUUCUUUCAAAUAUACGCUGUAUGUGCAUUUAAUUUACUGGUAGAUACAAUUUCCGAUUCUAUUGAUAUUUUGUUUUGA
Argiope bruennichi is the source of this 926-nucleotide long non-coding RNA. RefSeq lists it as uncharacterized. Lineage: Eukaryota; Metazoa; Arthropoda; Arachnida; Araneae; Araneidae. The record is from RefSeq and is a predicted model, not a curated record. The transcript has 4 exons.